UACCUUAAAGCUAGCCUACCAAAAGAAAAACAAAAACCAAUUUAAAUAACCCCUAAAUACACUAAUAUCAAAACUAACAAACCAUUUUUCCUCCUUAGUAUAGGUGAUAGAAAAGGAAACUUAGCGCAAUAGAGAAAGUACCGCAAGGGAAUGCUGAAAGAGAAAUGAAAUAACCCAGAAAAGCUAAAAAAAGCAGAGCUUAAACCUCGUACCUUUUGCAUCAUGAUUUAGCAAGUGUAACUUAAGCAAAGAGAACUAUAGUUUAAACCCCCGAAACUACGUGAGCUACUCCAAGACAGCCUAUUAUAGGGCACACCCUUCUCUGUUGCAAAAGAGUGGGACGAGCUUUGAGUAGAGGUGAUAAACCUACCGAACCUAGUUAUAGCUGGUUGUCCAAGAAAUGAAUAGAAGUUCAGCCUAUCGGCUUCUCUCUUCCCGCUAGUCUUACACCUGUCGAUGAAUAAGAAACCAAUAGAGUUAGUCAAAGGGGGUACAGCCCCUUUGAAAAAAGACACAACUUUUACAGGAGGGUAAAGAUCAUA
Molecule: ribosomal RNA, 542 nt
Filed under: Aulorhynchus flavidus (tube-snout)
Lineage: Eukaryota; Metazoa; Chordata; Actinopteri; Perciformes; Aulorhynchidae
Description: partial 16S large subunit ribosomal RNA
Rfam family: Bacterial large subunit ribosomal RNA (bases 189-542)
Source: RNAcentral